GGUGUUGUGGUUCACUGGUAAGAGCAUCUGCUUUGCAUGCAGAAGUUGCUGGUUCAAUCCAUGACAUUGCCA
Molecule: transfer RNA, 72 nt
Filed under: Sphaerodactylus townsendi
Lineage: Eukaryota; Metazoa; Chordata; Lepidosauria; Squamata; Sphaerodactylidae
Description: tRNA-Ala
Rfam family: tRNA
About the family: Transfer RNA (tRNA) molecules are approximately 80 nucleotides in length. Their secondary structure includes four short double-helical elements and three loops (D, anti-codon, and T loops).
Source: RNAcentral